Molecule: unclassified non-coding RNA, 456 nt
Filed under: Hevea brasiliensis (rubber tree)
Lineage: Eukaryota; Viridiplantae; Streptophyta; Magnoliopsida; Malpighiales; Euphorbiaceae
Source: RNAcentral
GCAAUAAUCUGUUAUAGCUGUUAUUCAAUAUAUAAUAAUUUGUUGCAAGUUCAUGGUUUACAUCAUGUGUAACUGAAGGUCCACCAGCAAUAAGGUUUCCAAGCUUCAGUAUCAUUGCAUUGCAUGUUAGUGAAGAUGCAAAAGUAAUGGAAAAUCAAUCUACCUCCCCAUGUAGUUCCUCUGAAGUACCAAUGACAGGAUAAAUAACACACAUUACAUAUUAUUCAGCAACCUUCUCAAAAAGCCACUUCUUUGGCCACCACGUAUUCCUGAGCCGAAAAGAGGUCUUCCAUUUAUCAUUCCAUCUAUAGUGACAUAAGGAAUGUGAGCUAUCUUUGACCACUCUUGCCCCUUACCCUUCUGGCACCUUCGUUUUAGUAGAGGACAACCAUUGAUGAUCAGUUGCAAAAGUGAGCGAGGCAGAGUGUUCUUUGGAAAGGAGGCAAGCUUAGGGCA